UACGUAGGCAGCGAGCGUUGUUCGGAGUUACUGGGCGUAAAGAGUGCGUAGGCGGUUUUCUAAGUUUGGUGUGAAAUCUCCCGGCUUAACCUGGGAAUGGCAUUUGGGACUGCAAGGCUGGAGUGCGGCAGAGGAGACUGGAAUUCCUGGUGUAGCAGUGAAAUGCGUAGAUAUCAGGAGGAACACCGAUGGCGAAGGCAGGUCUCUGGGCUGACACUGACGCUCAUGCACGAAAGCGUGGGGAGCAAACAGG
Molecule: ribosomal RNA, 253 nt
Filed under: uncultured bacterium
Lineage: Bacteria
Description: partial 16S ribosomal RNA
Rfam family: Bacterial small subunit ribosomal RNA
Source: RNAcentral